CGCGCCUGCCCGGCCGGCGGCGGAGCUCGGCUACAGGGGGAGGGGGGUGGGGGGGCGGCUCGGCGGCGGGUCUGCGGGCCGGGCGGGCCCCAUGGGCGGGUGUGUGGGCUCCCACCACGACUCCUCGGGCAGCCUCAACGAGAACUCGGACGGCACCGGAGUUGCGCUCGGUCGUAAUCAGCCCUUGAAGAAAGAGAAACCGAAAUGGAAGAGUGAUUACCCCAUGACAGACGGACAGUUGCGCAGCAAGAGAGAUGAGUUUUGGGACACGGCGCCGGCUUUCGAAGGUCGCAAGGAGAUUUGGGACGCGCUCAAGGCUGCCGCGCACGCUUUUGAGAGCAACGAUCACGAACUGGCACAGGCGAUCAUUGAUGGUGCAAACAUAACACUACCACAUGGUGCUCUUACGGAGUGUUACGAUGAACUGGGCAACCGGUACCAGCUCCCUGUCUACUGCCUCGCGCCACCCAUCAACAUGAUAGAGGAGAAGGGCGACCUGGAGACUCUGGAUAUUCCUGAUCCCCCACCCAAUUCAGGGCACGAAUGCCAGCUCCGUUUGCGCCUGUCCACAGGCAAAGACCUCAAACUCAUGGUCCGCAGCAUGGACACCGUGUACCACAUGAAGAGGCGGCUGCACGCGGUGGAGGGAGUGGAGCCGGGCAGCCAGCGCUGGUUCUUCUCGGGCAGGCCGCUGGCUGACAAAAUGAAACUGGAGGAGCUGAAAAUCCCAAAGGACUACGUGGUGCAAGUCAUUGUGAGCCAGCCCUUAGCAAAUCCCACCCCGGUGGAAAACUGAUUUCUGCUUGUUUAUUGAUUCUUCUUUCCUCCGUCUCUGUCGUGGGGUUUGUUUUCACUGCCCUCUCUUCUUUCGGUUUGUCCUGCUAAUGGAUUGGUUCCAAGAAAUGACCAGCAAAAAUUCCAUCUGUGAUGGAGAUCUGCAAAAACAAAACAUAAAAAUGUAAACUGGCCUUUGGGGUUUGCCUGAUCUCAUAUCUAAUGCAACAGCAAGCAGCACAGGGCAAGGGCAAAGGAAGGGGAAGAGAAAAGGGAGGAGGUACAAGGAGGGAGGGAAGAGAUUGUAGUUCACUUAAUACAGAAACGUAACGAUUCCUAAAACCGCAGGUGGUGUCCUGAUCCACAGAGCCAGAGCAACAGAGAGCACUUUUAAAAAAUAUUAAUCAAUUUAUAAGAUUUCAUAUCAGCACCAGACACAGUUCAUGCAAGAACUGCAGCUGCUCCGGGCAUGCCCUGCAUUGCGUGUUCCCGGGUUCCUUUCUGGUUCCUCCGAACUCUGGUGCAGCGCUGGGCUGGGCGCUCGGGCUCCGUCCUGCGCAGGCAGCUCCUGGGGAUGCUCACACCGAGCGAUCGUACAUUCCAAGCUGGCAGCACGGUCCUGUGCCAUUGCUGGCUCCCGAGCUGGGCGCACAGCCCUCCGGAGCCUUAGGCAAUAACUUAAUGUAUACUCUCACGUACUGUACUGUAAACUUACUUGCUACAAGACUGACUUAGCCUGAGGUUUACUGGCUGACUGGCAACUGCCGAAUUACUCUAUAUCACUCAGAUUGUUAAACUAAGCUUUGAGCAGCCUGGCUGAGCGGUGCGCUGUGCUUAAGCAUGAGGUGCAUCGCCUUUGUCCGGCGGCACCGCCGUGACAGGCACAGGUUACACUGCAUUUACACCCAGACGCAGUGGAUGUUUGCAGCUCCUCCUGCUCGGUUCCUAGAGGGCACAGAGUGUGGAAGACGGUGAGGAGGACGCAGCAGCUCACGGUUUGCAGCUUUUCAUGGGAGCGUCGUGGGCAGCAGCAACCGGUGUCCUCGCUCUGGUGACCCUGCGGCCAGGACAAGCGCAGUGUCCUCACCAGCACACCCCGCGGCCCAGAGCGGGACGGUGCCGUUUCACAGCCAGUGCUUUCCCUUCAGAAUGUACGAGGAGCCCUUUCGGCAAACGACAAAUCCUUUUGUAGUCUCAAAAAUCUGAAUCGGAGCAUGUUUUUUGGGGGGGGUGGGUAGUGGUAAUCUAAUUGCUGAUUCCCUCAGUUAGAGAUGCUCUCUGUGUUCCUUUGGCUGCCCUGCACCCCUCUCUGGCAAUGCCUUCGGUUGAGAUCAAAUGCUCUGUUCCUUUUAAACAUGAUUUCUAGUUUGCUCGUUUUUUCAGCCAUCAUUUAAAUUACUUCACUUCUUCCACAGCCGAAUAGCUAUUCCAUAGCCAAAUGUUCUAUUCAGCUAUCAAUAGCUUAUUUUUAUUGCUUUGUCUUCCCUCUCUGCAUCAAUGGUCUAAAGCUACAGUUGUCCCGGCUGCUUCUCAUCUGGUGGCAAAACUGGUGGGUUUGAGUGAGAAUUUUAAAGCUGUUACGUUUGCUCUUUCAUUGAUUCCGUAGAACCCAGUUUCUCGGACUCAAAGGGAAUUCUUGCUCCAUGAGCAUCAGCGCAGAGCCAGAGCCAGCAGAGUCACUCGUGCAAUGUCACGAGUCAUUCCCAGCAGAUGGAAGCAGGCGCAGAAUUUAUGCUGAUGGUUGGAAAACAGAUCCAUGUUUCAUAUGCAUUUUUCCGCCCUGCCCCUGAUAAACACAGGUUUCAUUUUAGUCCCUGUGUUGUAUUAAGCCUGCGGUUUUCUGGCAGCUCCUUCGGCCCUGAUGUGGGACAGGACAACUGACGAGCAGCGGCAGAGCUGUGCGAAGGAAAAACGUUCCUGAAUGAGGAGGAGAGGAAAGGAGCUCGCUGGAGCAACAAGGCAACACGUGGCAGCGUGCGCAACCUUUGGUAAAGCAGAUGGCUGACAGGCAAAAUGUUGCUGUAGUAUGACGUGCUUCUGCAUAUAUAUCCAUUGUUAGUAAAUAAUGUAAAAACUUUUUCAAAGUAUUAAAAACAAAUAAAUCUUAGUUUGUUACAAUGGCGGGAUGCUUUUAGCCAUGGAGCUUUGAAAGCGCUUUAGCUGUGUAAGUGUUGAUGAAUUAAAUGCUGUGUGUUUCUCCAUUUCUCUCUUCUUCGGAAGCGUAAGCUGUAGCUACGUUUCUGACUCGAUCUGUAUUUUACAAGCUCCUUUCUAUGUCACUGUACAUACAUCCCAGACCCUGCACCUUAUGCAGAGAAUGUUUACAUUUAAAAAAGAGAAAAAUAUGGCUGGCUUUUCCACUGCGCUGCUCCGCUGCUGUUGUGUUGAAAUGAAGGUGGUCUCUGUUGGAAAUGGGCUGGUUUUCCUUUGCCCUUCACCACUUCCCGUAAUUCCGAGUCCCUCCUGGACGGUGCCUGGUGGCUCUUGGACAGUUUGCAUCCACCUGGAAUAGGCUGUAGGGGUUAUGUGAGAAAGGUGCUUUUGAAAACUUGCUUUGGGUGGGGGGAUGAGCUUCAUACGUUCUGCAAACUUUACUUGGGAAAAAGAACAAAAUGUUCUUCAAGCCCAGGAGAUGCCGAUGGGCUGAGAUGCCGAUGGGCUGAGAUGCCGAUGGGCUGAGAUGCCGAUGGGCUGCUGUGCAGGUUAAUGCAUCCAGGAAGCCUUUUGAGUUAAACUUUCCAAGCUUUCUCUCCCAAAGAAGUUGAAUGUCCUGCUGUUCCAUCUGCAGCUACAAACACUUGCGUUGCUUAAUGACUGUAUAUACAACCCUGCCCGCUUUAAGACUUUUCAUAAAGCGUUUUUGAUUGCUCUGCUCUGCAAACGACUCUCCUCUUCCACCUUUCAUCCGCUUAGAUCCUCCGUAGCUGCGUGUGUUGCUGUUUAUAGGCGAUGGAGCUGUAGCUCUCGUUCUGAGGGGCAUCCCACUGAGCCUGCAGAAGUGAAACCCUUGGAGGAUGAGCUGUGUUAACCCGCAGGCUUCUGACUGUGGAUUUGAGACUUAUCAUCAACGUGUCCACUGGACUCUCCUUGAAAAAGCGUGUUCCUGCCAGCAGGACCACUUGUUGGGUGUUUAUCCGGUAGGACUCUGUAUUUGUAUAUUUUACAGAUGAAGACCAUUCGAUCAGAGCCAUGGGGCAAAUAGAGAACUUAAAAUCCUGACUCCUGCCUUAAAACUUCAUCUUGAGCUCCAAAAAUUCUGCACCUGCUCAUUCCCUAGUCCCUUUAUUUUUUUCCUUAGGAAAUUUGAAUCCAGUGCAAGGCUGGAGGCAAUUCAAGGAAAAUGAAAAUAAAUUUUAGCUGAUGGCUUUAUUAAAAUAACUAACUGGUCUUGCAUUAAAAACUCUAUUUGUGCCUCUCUUAAGUCCAGGGAAUGUUUAGAAAGUGGAGGUGGCUUUUGAGCAAUGAUGGGAUGGCUGCGUUAGCUGGUUUGCGAGACACUCGCUUUCCUGUGCUCUGAGCAAGAGACUUUGUGUCCUCUCUGCCUCAUGGGAAUGGCUUUCAAAGAUGGCUGGUACCAUCAAAUUUGUACUUCUUGAAUAAAUAUCUUCAUUUUUAUGGUAAAACUUCUUGUAUGCGGUUUGUGUGUGCCACGUAACAAACAUUCAUGUGACGUAGGAUACGGUGCUAGACACAGACAAUGCACAGCUCCAACGCACGCUGGAACAAGAACAAGGGCAUUCCAGUGUGUAAAACAUGCUCUUUAAUUUGUUUUCCCCCUCCCUGGGUCCUUCAGCCAAUGAAGAAUUCUGGGACAAUAUAAAGACGCUGUGAACAUCAGGUAAUUUUUAAGAUGCAUUAUGUAUUUUUAUGUUAUGCUUUGUGGUUGAGACAUCACAGUGGUGUGUGCACGUGUUUCUAAAUCCACUGCAAAGCACAAGCAGGUUGUCUUUAGACUGUUAAAUUAUGUCUUUUUUUUAUCCUAGGGAAGAUCCUUUACCAUUGGGCGCAAAACAUCAUGCACUUCUAUUGGAAAUGCUGUACAAAAUUCCUGUACUUAAAAAAGAGAAACCUUUUUUCCCCCCUGCGCUUAGAAAAAUAAAAGUAAUCCUGGGAAUGCCAUCUAUGCAUUAAGAAAUAAA
Molecule: RNA transcript, 4913 nt
Organism: Columba livia (rock pigeon)
Lineage: Eukaryota; Metazoa; Chordata; Aves; Columbiformes; Columbidae
Gene: UBTD2
Gene name: ubiquitin domain containing 2
Exons: 4
Source: RefSeq, a predicted model, not a curated record